This 701-nucleotide ribosomal RNA is filed under the name uncultured Methanosarcinaceae archaeon. Its description in RNAcentral is "bacterial SSU rRNA". It matches the Rfam family "Archaeal small subunit ribosomal RNA", at positions 87 to 786 of the family's 1478-position model. The record is from RNAcentral. Lineage: Archaea; Methanobacteriati; Methanobacteriota; Methanomicrobia; Methanosarcinales; Methanosarcinaceae.
GGCUCAGUAACACGUGGAUAACCUGCCCUUGGGACCGGCAUAACCCCGGGAAACUGGGGAUAAUUCCGGAUACCGCAUAUAUGCUGGAAUGCUUUAUGCGUGAAAUGGAUUCGUCUGCCCAAGGAUGGGUCUGCGGCCUAUCAGGUAGUAGUGGGUGUAAUGUACCUACUAGCCUACAACGGGUACGGGUUGUGAGAGCAAGAGCCCGGAGAUGGAUUCUGAGACAUGAAUCCAGGCCCUACGGGGCGCAGCAGGCGCGAAAACUUUACAAUGCGGGAAACCGUGAUAAGGGGACACCGAGUGCCAGCAUCAUAUUCUGGCUGUCCAGGUGUGUAAAAUACACCUGUUAGCAAGGGCCGGGCAAGACCGGUGCCAGCCGCCGCGGUAACACCGGCGGCCCGAGUGGUGAUCGUGAUUAUUGGGUCUAAAGGGUCCGUAGCCGGUUUGGUCAGUCCUCCGGGAAAUCUGACAGCUCAACUGUUAGGCUUUCGGGGGAUACUGCCAGACUUGGAACCGGGAGAGGUAAGAGGUACUACAGGGGUAGGAGUGAAAUCUUGUAAUCCCUGUGGGACCACCUGUGGCGAAGGCGUCUUACCAGAACGGGUUCGACGGUGAGGGACGAAAGCUGGGGGCACGAACCGGAUUAGAUACCCGGGUAGUCCCAGCCGUAAACGAUGCUCGCUAGGUGUCAGGCAUGGCGC